RNAcentral lists this ribosomal RNA (187 nucleotides) under Desmodesmus sp. NEIST BT-10. RNAcentral describes it as "Desmodesmus sp. NEIST-BT10 partial small subunit ribosomal RNA". It matches the Rfam family "Eukaryotic small subunit ribosomal RNA", at positions 155 to 343 of the family's 1831-position model. The record is from RNAcentral. Lineage: Eukaryota; Viridiplantae; Chlorophyta; Chlorophyceae; Sphaeropleales; Scenedesmaceae.
AAAUUAGAGCUAAUACGUGCGUAAAUCCCGACUUCUGGAAGGGACGUAUAUAUUAGAUAAAAGGCCGACCGGGCUCUGCCCGACCCGCGGUGAAUCAUGAUAUCUUCACGAAGCGCAUGGCCUUGCGCCGGCGCUGUUCCAUUCAAAUUUCUGCCCUAUCAACUUUCGAUGGUAGGAUAGAGGCCUA